UCUAGUUUCCCUCGCUCUUUGUGUUUUGAAAGAUACUGAAGUAGUAUUUUUUUUUUUCCUUCUGUUGCUUAAUUGGCACUUGGACUGGAUGAAUCGGUAACAAAUUUACAAUUUUGUAAAUAUUUUUGCGGUUUUGAAUUUUUUUUGUAUUUCUGUGAAUUUGGGGUUGGUUGAUGAGUUUUUCUAGGUUUUGUUGAAUUCUGUAAUGUUAUAGGGUUAUACUAUAAUGUAGCUGAUUCCUGAAUAAUUACUGAAAAAUCCUGCAAUUGCAAAAGUUAAUGUUGAUUAAAAGGUGAUAUCUUAGUGAUAGAGUGAGAGGAGAAUGGUCAAGAUUGAUUUACAUAUUAUCCUCAUAUUGAUAUCUGACAAAAGUCUACAAAAUCUUGCUUAUCUAUUCCAAAACUGCAAUGAAGUCUUCAUGAGUCGUAGAAAUUGGGGGAGAUAACAAUUGCAAAGACAAAAGUCUCAAACUUGUUAUUGAUCCUGAGUUAAUUAGAUUAUUUUUUCACUCCUCAUGAUGAGGGAGAUGAAGGUAUAUUUCUAAUAUAACUAUUAGGAUUAAAUUAAUUUACAUUUAUAACUUCCUUUUUAAUUCAGUGUCAUUGACUUCAUAUGGAUUAUUUAUUGCUUAGUUUUAUUGUAUAUUGAUUCUAAUGAAAUGCAAUCAGUAGUUUUUGAAGUGAUGCUUUCUAAGCUAUUUUAUGAUAUUUUCUAAAUUCAUUUGAUUAUUGUAAAUAAAUGAAUAUUAAAUUUUAGAAUAAAAAAAUGUAUUAUGAAGGUUGGCUAGUUCAGAUCCUAAAAAUUGUAUAUUGGCACUAACAUUAAAAAUUUGUGCAAUUUGUGUUAUGAAACUAAAAUUAGGGUAUUCUUCUGAAAAUUUGUGCAAUUUGUGUUAACCAGUAUCGGUAUCUGUUGUAGCACAAAAUUGUGUAUCUAUGUAACACAAAUAGAUUAAAUUCUUGUUGCGGAUUUGUAAAACCCUUAAGAAGCUGUUUGGAGAAGUGAAGUGCGAAGAUUUGUGGAUUGCUAUAAGUGCAAAUUGUUCCCAUAAUUUUAUAUUGAUCAAUAAUGAAAAAAUGAAUCAGAAAUCAUCCUUCUUAAUCCCACAUCUGCAGCUGUUCUGAUCAUGCUCCAGAAGAUGUACCUUUGGCCUUAAACAGAACCUUGAGUGAUUUACAGCUUGACUAUGUUAAUCGUUAUCUGGUGGGCUUAGGUUAAUGUUAAUGUUACUUUUAGAAGUGAUUCUGCUAAUUUGUUUGUGGUUGAGUGCAUAUUAACUGAAGAUGCACUGGCCUGUUAGCAUGGAGAAAGGUUCAGUCAGUUUUGUUUGUGAAGUAAUGAUGCUUCAGCAUUCCACAACUCUCUGGAGCAACGGCAAUUCCGCUCUUGUUCCUGCUUUCAUCGCCCUUCCGGAUAUCGUUCGUUCCAGAUCGCCAUCAAGUGAAGGAACGGGUUGUCAGUGGAGAGUUUUCGGCGGGUUAGACGAGAAUUUAGUGAAAGUCGCUAGAUGAGUUUAUCGUGCAGGCAGCUCAAGCUGGUGAGCAGAGUGUGGUGGUUGACGGGUUGAGGGAUUGCCAUGUAGCAAACUAGCAAUGUCUUAUAUGGCUACCGUGUUGGUGGCCCUCAAGAUUGGCGUGAAGGACAUUGCUUUGAUGACAACAAUGUUGUACUCGAUCCAUAUGCAAAAAUUGGUUGAAGGAUGCCGAGUCUUUGCAGAUGUCUAAAUGUUUUGGGACAUAUGGUUUUGGUGGCAUGCCUUUUGACUGGGGAGAGAACUGCGAGCUUCCAAAUAUACAUGAGGUUAGUGAACGAAGUUCACUAAAUGUCUCUUAAGAUACAGAAAGAUCUUGUUUUGUAUGAAAUGAAUGUCGGGGACUUCACAGCUGAUCAGUCCCGUUGAUUGGAACCACACAUACGUGUCAGUUACCUUGGUAUGAUAGAGAAGACAGAGAUGAAACAAUUGGAGUAAAGACUAAAGACAACCACGACUCCAGAUUUAACCCAGACUUGCCAACAGGGAUUUUGAAGAGUAAAGCAGCGUGUGGUAUACCACAUAUUUUGGAGCUUGGUGUCAAUGCAGUUGAGCUGCUCCAUGUGUUUGAGUUUGACGAAAUGGAGCUCUAAAGGCGCCCAAAUGCAAGAGAGUACUUGUAUGCACUAUGCAAGCAAUGGUGGAGGACCAGUUAAUGCUUCCCAAGAAUUCAAACAAAUGGUUAAGGCUUUCCAUGAUGCUGUAAUUGAGGUAUUUUACAUGAUGGACUUCCAACAAAAUGGCCAGUUGUUGAUCUUUCUGGUUAUGGGUAACUGAGUAUCAUGUGGAUGGGUUCUGUUUUGAUCUGGCUAGUGUGCUUUGUUCAGGAACUGAUGGUUCUUCUCUCAGUGCUCCCCCUUUGAUCAGGACAAUAGCCAACGAUAGUAUCCCCUCAAGAUGUAAGAUCAUUGCAGAACCUUGGGAUUGUGGAGGACAAUAUCUUGUUGGAAAUUUUCCAUACUGGGAUAGUAUGAAUCUUUGGCUUGCAGGUGGGCUGAAUGGAAUGGAAUAUACAGUGAUGACAUUACAAAAUUCAUGAAGGUGCUGCAAGUGGAGAAAUUCUCAACUAGAGGAAUAGUUUCCUAUAUUUCAUUAAUUACUAUAUUAAAGUAAUGAAAAAAUAUGUGCAAUGUGUGAACUUUCAAUAUAUUGACUGAGGACAAAUAGUUUCAUAUAUUUCUACUUUACUCA
Salvia hispanica is the source of this 2722-nucleotide non-coding RNA. The record is from RefSeq and is a predicted model, not a curated record. Lineage: Eukaryota; Viridiplantae; Streptophyta; Magnoliopsida; Lamiales; Lamiaceae.